GAUGAACGCUGGCGGCGUGCCUAAUACAUGCAAGUCGAGCGAACGGGCGAGAAGCUUGCUUCUCUGACGUUAGCGGCGGACGGGUGAGUAACACGUGGAUAACCUACCUAUAAGACUGGGAUAACUUCGGGAAACCGGAGCUAAUACCGGAUGAUAUUUUGAACCGCAUGGUUCAAUAGUGAAAGACGGUCUUGCUGUCACUUAUAGAUGGAUCCGCGCUGCAUUAGCUAGUUGGUAAGGUAACGGCUUACCAAGGCAACGAUGCAUAGCCGACCUGAGAGGGUGAUCGGCCACACUGGAACUGAGACACGGUCCAGACUCCUACGGGAGGCAGCAGUAGGGAAUCUUCCGCAAUGGGCGAAAGCCUGACGGAGCAACGCCGCGUGAGUGAUGAAGGUCUUCGGAUCGUAAAACUCUGUUAUUAGGGAAGAACAUAUGUGUAAGUAACUGUGCACAUCUUGACGGUACCUAAUCAGAAAGCCACGGCUAACUACGUG
RNAcentral lists this ribosomal RNA (497 nucleotides) under uncultured bacterium. RNAcentral describes it as "partial 16S ribosomal RNA". It matches the Rfam family "Bacterial small subunit ribosomal RNA", at positions 28 to 507 of the family's 1533-position model. The record is from RNAcentral.